This 67-nucleotide non-coding RNA is filed under the name Streptomyces sp. RNAcentral also lists the same sequence under 1 other name. The record is from RNAcentral. Lineage: Bacteria; Bacillati; Actinomycetota; Actinomycetes; Kitasatosporales; Streptomycetaceae.
GUUUUGCUACGGUGGAGCCCACCCGACGAGACGUGCGCCGUACCGGGAUUCGCAAAGACGACGCACC